Molecule: non-coding RNA, 86 nt
Organism: Paramuricea clavata
Lineage: Eukaryota; Metazoa; Cnidaria; Anthozoa; Malacalcyonacea; Plexauridae
Source: the annotation of a GenBank genome assembly
UACCUCAAAAAACCACAACAGUCUGUUUCAUCCGUAUAGGAAUCAUGAUGAUUCCUAUACGGAUGAAACAGACUGUUGUGGUUUUU